This 253-nucleotide ribosomal RNA is filed under the name uncultured bacterium. Its description in RNAcentral is "partial 16S ribosomal RNA". It matches the Rfam family "Bacterial small subunit ribosomal RNA", at positions 524 to 776 of the family's 1533-position model. The record is from RNAcentral.
UACGGAGGGAGCUAGCGUUGUUCGGAAUUACUGGGCGUAAAGCGCACGUAGGCGGCUUUGUAAGUUAGAGGUGAAAGCCCGGGGCUCAACUCCGGAACUGCCUUUAAGACUGCAUCGCUUGAAUCCAGGAGAGGUGAGUGGAAUUCCGAGUGUAGAGGUGAAAUUCGUAGAUAUUCGCAAGAACACCAGUGGCGAAGGCGGCUCACUGGCCCGGUACUGACGCUGAGGUGCGAAAGCGUGGGGAGCAAACAGG